AUUGAACGCUGGCGGCAUGCCUUACACAUGCAAGUCGAACGGCAGCAUGGAGAGCUUGCUCUCUGAUGGCGAGUGGCGAACGGGUGAGUAAAGCAUCGGAACGUACCGUGUAGUGGGGGAUAACGUAGCGAAAGUUACGCUAAUACCGCAUACGCACUGAGGUGGAAAGCAGGGGAUCGUAAGACCUUGCGCUAUACGAGCGGCCGAUGUCAGAUUAGCUAGUUGGUAGGGUAAAGGCCUACCAAGGCGACGAUCUGUAGCGGGUCUGAGAGGAUGAUCCGCCACACUGGGACUGAGACACGGCCCAGACUCCUACGGGAGGCAGCAGUGGGGAAUUUUGGACAAUGGGGGCAACCCUGAUCCAGCCGUGCCGCGUGAGUGAAGAAGGCCUUCGGGUUGUAAAGCUCUUUCGGCCGGGAAGAAAUCGCACAGGCUAAUACCCUGUGUGGAUGACGGUACCGGCAUAAGAAGCACCGGCUAACUACGUGCCAGCAGCCGCCGUAA
This 504-nucleotide ribosomal RNA is filed under the name uncultured bacterium. RNAcentral's name for it is "partial 16S ribosomal RNA". It matches the Rfam family "Bacterial small subunit ribosomal RNA", at positions 30 to 523 of the family's 1533-position model. The record is from RNAcentral.